This 545-nucleotide ribosomal RNA is filed under the name uncultured bacterium. RNAcentral describes it as "bacterial SSU rRNA". It matches the Rfam family "Bacterial small subunit ribosomal RNA", at positions 777 to 1320 of the family's 1533-position model. The record is from RNAcentral.
AAUAGAUACCCGGGUAGUCCACGCCGUAAACGAUGAGUGCUAAGUGUUAGGGGGUUUCCGCCCCUUAGUGCUGCAGCUAACGCAUUAAGCACUCCGCCUGGGGAGUACGGUCGCAAGACUGAAACUCAAAGGAAUUGACGGGGGCCCGCACAAGCGGUGGAGCAUGUGGUUUAAUUCGAAGCAACGCGAAGAACCUUACCAGGUCUUGACAUCCCAUUGACCACUAUGGAGACAUAGUUUUCCCUUCGGGGACAACGGUGACAGGUGGUGCAUGGUUGUCGUCAGCUCGUGUCGUGAGAUGUUGGGUUAAGUCCCGCAACGAGCGCAACCCUUGUUCUUAGUUGCCAUCAUUUAGUUGGGCACUCUAAGGAGACUGCCGGUGACAAACCGGAGGAAGGUGGGGAUGACGUCAAAUCAUCAUGCCCCUUAUGACCUGGGCUACACACGUGCUACAAUGGACGGUACAAACGGUUGCCAACCCGCGAGAGGGAGCUAAUCCGAUAAAACCGUUCUCAGUUCGGAUUGUAGGCUGCAACUCGCCUACA